AAUCAUGGCUCAGGAUGAACGCUAGCUACAGGCUUAACACAUGCAAGUCGAGGGGCAUCAGUUUGGUUUGCUUGCAAACCAAAGCUGGCGACCGGCGCACGGGUGAGUAACACGUAUCCAACCUACCUCAUACUCGGGGAUAGCCUUUCGAAAGAAAGAUUAAUAUCCGAUAGCAUAUAUUUCCCGCAUGGGUUUUAUAUUAAAGAAAUUCGGUAUGAGAUGGGGAUGCGUUCCAUUAGUUUGUUGGGGGGGUAACGG
Molecule: ribosomal RNA, 258 nt
Filed under: uncultured bacterium
Lineage: Bacteria
Description: partial 16S ribosomal RNA
Rfam family: Bacterial small subunit ribosomal RNA
Source: RNAcentral